Molecule: small nuclear RNA, 22 nt
Filed under: Arabidopsis thaliana (thale cress)
Lineage: Eukaryota; Viridiplantae; Streptophyta; Magnoliopsida; Brassicales; Brassicaceae
Description: snRNA_04529
Source: RNAcentral
ACGGAUACACGUUCGUGCACUG